This 69-nucleotide transfer RNA is filed under the name Quadrula quadrula (mapleleaf mussel). Its description in RNAcentral is "tRNA-Met". The record is from RNAcentral. Lineage: Eukaryota; Metazoa; Mollusca; Bivalvia; Unionida; Unionidae.
AAUAGGGUAAGCUAACAUACUUUAAGCUGUUGGGCUCAUAACCCAAAAAUAGAUAUACUCUCCCUAUUA